AUUACGUCCCUGCCCUUUGUACACACCGCCCGUAGCUACUACCGAUUGAAUGGCUUAGUGAGACUUUCGGAUGUGUUUGGAGCCGCUGGCAACAGUGACACCUUGCGCAGAAGUUAUUCAAACUUGGUCAUUUAGAGGAAGUAAAAGUCGUAACAAGGUUUCCGUAGGUGAACCUGCGGAAGGAUCAUUA
RNAcentral lists this ribosomal RNA (190 nucleotides) under uncultured Paraglomus. RNAcentral describes it as "partial 18S ribosomal RNA". It matches the Rfam family "Eukaryotic small subunit ribosomal RNA", at positions 1644 to 1831 of the family's 1831-position model. The record is from RNAcentral. Lineage: Eukaryota; Fungi; Glomeromycota; Glomeromycetes; Paraglomerales; Paraglomeraceae.